UACGGGGGGAGCAAGCGUUGUUCGGAUUUACUGGGCGUAAAGGGCGCGUAGGCGGUCAGCACAAGUCAGUUGUGAAAUCUCCGGGCUUAACUCGGAAAGGUCAACUGAUACUGUGCGACUAGAGUGCAGAAGGGGCAACUGGAAUUCUCGGUGUAGCGGUGAAAUGCGUAGAUAUCGAGAGGAACACCUGUGGCGAAAGCGGCUCUCUGGACCACAACUGACGCUGAGGCGCGAAAGCUAGGGGAGCAAACAGG
Molecule: ribosomal RNA, 254 nt
Filed under: uncultured bacterium
Lineage: Bacteria
Description: partial 16S ribosomal RNA
Rfam family: Bacterial small subunit ribosomal RNA
Source: RNAcentral